Non-coding RNA from Malaclemys terrapin pileata, 567 nucleotides. The record is from the annotation of a RefSeq genome assembly. Lineage: Eukaryota; Metazoa; Chordata; Testudines; Emydidae.
AUGGCCUGGGCCCCUCUGCUCCUCACGCUGCUCACUUACUGCGUUGGUUGGAGUUCCCAGAGUGCACUGACUCAGACCAGCUCCAUGGCAGUGAAACUGGGGGAGACGGCCGAGCUGCACUGCACACUGCAAGGGGUGGAGUACAUUAGUAACAACAGCCCAUCCUGGUAUCAGCAGAGAUCGGGGACGGCCCCUCGGUUACUGAUCUAUAACUCUAGGAGCAGAGCCUCCGGGAUCCCCGAGCGCUUCUCUGGCGAGAUGAACGGUAACAGGGCGUCGUUAACCAUCACUGGAGCCCUGGCCGAGGACGAGGGGGAUUAUUACUGUGCUCUGAACAAUUCUCUCCUGUGUCUUCAAUACGACGCUCCUGUUAAUUCACCCCAGAAAGAUAUUUGCCUUUUUUGCAAUUGGGUCAUAUUGGCACAUAUUCAAUUUGUGAUUCACUAUAACCACCAGGUCCUUGUCAGCUGUAUUCCUGCCGAGCCAGUUAUGUCCCAGAGAGAGUGGGCACAGCAGACCUGUGAAGAGAAAGAGGUGUCAACUGUGAUGGAGAACCCCAUGGGAUAA